Molecule: non-coding RNA, 196 nt
Organism: Vigna angularis (adzuki bean)
Lineage: Eukaryota; Viridiplantae; Streptophyta; Magnoliopsida; Fabales; Fabaceae
Source: Rfam
AUACCUUUCUCGGCCUUUUGGCUAAGAUCAAGUGUAGUAUCUGUUCUUAUCAGUUUAAUAUCUGAUAUGUGGUCCAUUGGUUCACACGAUAUUAAAUUUAUUUUUUAAGGGAUGGAGUCAAUUGCAGUGGCUUGCUACUGAGAUUCCCCAGCAUCGCUCUUGCUUUGCACUAUUGCAAGGGCUGGGUGCAUCCCAC